Molecule: transfer RNA, 73 nt
Filed under: Bifiguratus adelaidae
Lineage: Eukaryota; Fungi; Mucoromycota; Endogonomycetes; Endogonales
Rfam family: tRNA
About the family: Transfer RNA (tRNA) molecules are approximately 80 nucleotides in length. Their secondary structure includes four short double-helical elements and three loops (D, anti-codon, and T loops).
Source: Rfam by way of RNAcentral
GCCUUCUUGGCUCAGUUGGCAGAGCGUCUGCCUAGUAAGCAGAAGGUCACCAGUUCGACUCUGGUAGAAGGCA